This 2792-nucleotide long non-coding RNA is filed under the name Patiria miniata (bat star). RNAcentral describes it as "uncharacterized LOC119731690". Lineage: Eukaryota; Metazoa; Echinodermata; Asteroidea; Valvatida; Asterinidae. The record is from RNAcentral.
UUUAGUUGUGAAUUUUGGGGGUUAAAUGCAAGUACGCCUUAGCCGAAAACUUAUCGCCAUUUCCAAAGUUAACCGCAAAUAAGCCAAAAAAAAUUGUAGGGCCUAUAUUAGUAAACAAAAAAAUCACUUCGCGUAAGGCUACUAGUUGUGAUGGGACACUUUCCAAAAUAACUGGUUCACGCCCAAAUAUAUUUGAAAUCAUAGCGGUGUUGAUUGUGGGAAUCGGUUUGCGGAGGUUUACUGAUUUUCAGUGACUAGGCCUGCAGGGCGUGGCGCUUUCCAAAAUAACUGGUUCGCGUCGUUGCCCCAUGCCUAAAUCAUAGCGCCUAGGCACCAGGGAAUUGCCAAACGACAUUCUCGAUUUUUCACAUGCGUCAUUUACGCACUCAUAAAUUGGCGGGCAUGGAGAAUUUUCAAAACUCUCAGAACGGUAAAAACGGUUAUCAUGACAGCUAGAUUCCAAGCCAGCAAACCACAUCAAGCCAAACUUCAAACUGCUGAAGGAAUGCCAGAACUUGCCAUCAAAGUCAUUGCCACUCUUGGCUUGUCAUGUUUUAUACUGUGCCCGUCGAACAAUAACAUGCUCCAGAUCUGAGUACCUGGAAACUCUAGGGCCAACUUCCUAGGAGCCAGCAUUGAAAUAAUUUAGUUGAACUUAAACCUUAAUGUGAGUUAUUUAAUUUAAAAUGAAUAAUUAGCAAAAUGGAAUAAAUAUUCAGUAUGUUCAGUCAUGAAUAAAUAUAAAUGCCUUGAACUAAGUCUUCAAAUUGAUUUAAAAUAAUCCAGAGUAAACCUUACAACCAACCCAAAGUCAGUGCUAAUGCAAGUAAAGUUAAAAUUCAAAUACUAUUUUAUAGCAACUUACUUGACAAUAAAAGGCAAAAGUAUAUUAAGUUUAUAUCUCAAUAAGAUAGAUACCUUGAACUAAAUCUUCAACUUAAUUUAACAGAAAUGAGCAAACGUUUAACAGCACAGUGAAUGUUGACAAACCUAAGGUCAAACCUUAUUAAUGUAAAAUUAAACUUUACAUUUUAAGUCGCUUAGGAGGGUAAAUCCAGUUUUGAAUACAAAUACAAUGUAUAUAGCAUCCAAGUAUGCCAAAGUCAUUUUGUUUAUAAACUGCACGGAAGUGUAGACCCUUGCAGCAUUUUCUGAGGUCCUUCCCCUGCAUGCACCAUUAACAGUUAACCACAGCACUAUCCUUCCCUAUUUUAACCACUAACCAGCACAGACCCAUCAAAAUGCUGCAAAGGCAAGAAAAUAUUUACACAAAUUCAUUUGUGUGGUUUUUCAAAGCUGGAUUGCCACAAAAUAUUUUUCUUAGUGUUAUAUAAACAAUAAUUAUGGAAUAGCAAAAACAAUAAGUUAGCAUUACAUUUGACUUAACUGUGAACAUAAAAUGAAUUUUUUAAAGUUUUCAACUAAAAAAAAGUACUAUUUAAUCUCUCCACCUAUAAAUUCUGAUGAAAGGGAAAUUAUUUUGAAAUCUGCGUGGACAAGCAAAACUGAAAUUAAAUUAAACUUGGAUGGAAAUGAUAAAAUUAUAAAGUAAUCAGCUGACAGAGGACACCUAAAUAUAAAUGUUAUAUUUAAGCCACAAGAGAAAGCCUUUUAAAGAGGUGAAAACCUUUAAACAAUGAACAAUAAUCACAGCAUAUAUUUAAGUUAAAAUAUAGUCUUAACUAGUUUGAAUGAAGUUGGCCUGGACAAACUAGGGACAAUGGUCAGUAUGGAGCAGGAAAUUUAAAAGUAUUUGAGUGCCUUCAUAGAGAAACCCUGAACAUCGCCUCCAAGUCACCCCCGGACAGACGGUGACAACUGGAAAGACAAACUGUGAACUCAUGAAGAUGACAUUUUCAGGACAGGUGAACUUUAAAAGAUUUCAUCCAGAGGACUUUGUGAUGAACAGAUAUGUAAGCCACAGUGUGCGGAAGGAGGCAAAUAGUCAACCAACAAUGUGCAAGACAAACUAUGAAAUCAGGAGGAUGACAUUGUCAGGGCGCCGGGAACUAUACAAGAUUCCAUCCCGAGGACAGUGUGAGGAACAGAUAUGUAAGCCACAGUGUGCAAAAGGAGGCAAAUCAUCCAGUGAGGGAUUCACUACUGAAACAAAGGACAAGGAAUUUGUUAUAGAAAUGCCUGAUUUGGACGAAAGAUCAACAGAAAAGACAAUUAAUGCUGCAGCAACUUUCAGAAGAAGGAUGGAUCUGACUUUAACAACUGAUUUUUAAGUGUCGCCUUUCUCCAGUGCUGACUUGGGGAAUAGCCUACUAGCUGCUGCAUAACUCUAUAUCUUAAUCUUGGAAGCACAAUUGAAGGACACCCCUACCUUGGACUCUAUGCCAUUUUGGAAGCUACACUUGGAGGAUGCGCUUCUUUAGAAGGACCGACUUGAACUUUGGGAAACUUUGACUAUGUUGCACGAGUGGAAAUCAACUUUUGACAAGGUGCAACUAUGAAAUUAUGAGGAUGACAUUGUCAGGUUCAUUCGGAGCACAACGAGGCUUUCUGAAGUUAGGAGACGUGGAGUUCACCAUCUUUACUACCAGUGGAGGAUGUCUCAUUCUGAAAAAUCAGAGGUCUGCAGGUACUCCUAAGAUGUUAUCUGGCUGUGAACAUGACCAAGACGCCUGGAUUGCAGAAGGCUUCACCAGAGGGUGCCCGAUGGACCUAACAUCUUAAAUAGAGGCCGGGGGACAAGAUUGCAUGUUCAUAAGGUGAGGUAACCAUUGUAUGCAGGCUUGAACAUGUACAAGACCCCCGGAUGUUGCCGUACAGUUUGCAAGUGGAGU